AGAGUUUGAUCAUGGCUCAGGAUGAACGCUAGCGGCAGGCUUAACACAUGCAAGUCGAGGGGUAACAUCGAUGCUUGCAUCAGAUGACGACCGGCGCACGGGUGCGUAACGCGUAUACAAUCUACCAUUAACAGGAGGAUAGCCUUUAGAAAUGAAGAAUAACACUCCAUAGUAACAUAGUCUCGCAUGGGAUUAUGUUUAAAUAUUUAUAGGUUAAUGAUGAGUAUGCGUCCUAUUAGCUAGAUGGUAAGGUAACGGCUUACCAUGGCAACGAUAGGUAGGGGCCCUGAGAGGGGGAUCCCCCACACUGGUACUGAGACACGGACCCGACUCCUACGGGAGGCAGCAGUGAGGAAUAUUGGGCGAUGGAGGCAACUCUGACCCAGCCAUGCCGCGUGCAGGAUGACUGCCCUAUGGGUUGUAAACUGCUUUUAUACAGGAAGAAACACUGGUAUGUAUACCAGCUUGACGGUACUGUAAGAAUAAGGACCGGCUAACUCCGUGCCAGCAGCCGCGGUAAUACGGAGGGUCCAAGCGUUAUCCGGAAUCAUUGGGUUUAAAGGGUUCGUAGGCGGACUAAUAAGUCAGGGGUGAAAUCCCACAGCUCAACUGUGGAACUGCCUUUGAUACUGUUAGUCUUGAAUUAUGUGGAAGUAGAUAGAAUGUGUAGUGUAGCGGUGAAAUGCUUAGAGAUUACACA
Molecule: ribosomal RNA, 700 nt
Filed under: uncultured bacterium
Lineage: Bacteria
Description: bacterial SSU rRNA
Rfam family: Bacterial small subunit ribosomal RNA
Source: RNAcentral